Molecule: long non-coding RNA, 406 nt
Organism: Arabidopsis thaliana (thale cress)
Lineage: Eukaryota; Viridiplantae; Streptophyta; Magnoliopsida; Brassicales; Brassicaceae
Product: other RNA
Exons: 1
Source: RefSeq
AAUAUGUGUUUGUGUUCGGUUUAAGUAAAACAUAACAUAUAGAGCUGCUGACAUGAAGAUGGCCAAGACAGACCCCACGGCUACGCUAACUUGGAAGAAACCAGGCUCCAUAUUGUUUCUUACGCACUUCAAAUUUGUUCUUUCUCACCUUUUUUUCUUCCGUGUCUUCUUCACUUUCUCGGUUGCAAAAGAUACUUAUAUAUGUAUGCAGGGCCGGCUCAACAAAACGUGGGACCCUGUGCUCGUUAAUUUUUUUUCUAAUAUAUGUUCUAUAUGUUUAGAAUUUAGUUUGAUUAUACACUACUGUUUGUAAAAUGGACCUUGAUUGCUUAAAGAAAAUGAUUGAAAAAAUAAAGGACCCUGUGCAUUAGCACCAAGGGCACACCCUCUAAGCCGGGCCUGUAUG